Molecule: ribosomal RNA, 500 nt
Filed under: uncultured bacterium
Lineage: Bacteria
Description: partial 16S ribosomal RNA
Rfam family: Bacterial small subunit ribosomal RNA
Source: RNAcentral
AUUGAACGCUGGCGGCAUGCCUUACACAUGCAAGUCGAACGGCAGCACGGGAGCAAUCCCGGUGGCGAGUGGCGAACGGGUGAGUAAUAUAUCGGAACGUGCCCAGUAGUGGGGGAUAGCCCGGCGAAAGCCGGAUUAAUACCGCAUACGACCUAAGGGUGAAAGCGGGGGACCGUAAGGCCUCGCGCUAUUGGAGCGGCCGAUAUCAGAUUAGGUAGUUGGUAGGGUAAAAGCCUACCAAGCCAUCGAUCUGUAGCUGGUCUGAGAGGACGACCAGCCACACUGGGACUGAGACACGGCCCAGACUCCUACGGGAGGCAGCAGUGGGGAAUUUUGGACAAUGGGCGAAAGCCUGAUCCAGCCAUGCCGCGUGCAGGAAGAAGGCCUUCGGGUUGUAAACUGCUUUUGUCGGGGAAGAAACGCUCUGGGCUAAUACCCUGGGGUAAUGACGGUACCUGAAGAAUAAGCACCGGCUAACUACGUGCCAGCAGCCGCAGUAA